Molecule: ribosomal RNA, 164 nt
Filed under: uncultured bacterium
Lineage: Bacteria
Description: partial 16S rRNA
Rfam family: Bacterial small subunit ribosomal RNA
Source: RNAcentral
UAGGGAAUCUUCCACAAUGGGCGAAAGCCUGAUGGAGCAACGCCGCGUGUGUGAUGUAGGGUUUCGGCUCGUAAAACACUGUUGUAAGAGAAGGAUGACAUUGAGAGUAACUGUUCAAUGUGUGACGGUAUCUUACCAGAAAGGAACGGCUAAAUACGUGUCAG